AGAGAGUGCAAGCGUUAAUCAGAAUUACUGGGCGUAAAGCGCGCGUAGGUGGAUAUUUAAGUCGGAUGUGAAAUCCCCGGGCUCAACCUGGGAAUUGCACUCGAUACUGGGUAUCUAGAGUAUGGUAGAGGGAAGUGGAAUUUCCGGUGUAGCGGUGAAAUGCGUAGAUAUCGGAAAGAACACCAGUGGCGAAGGCGGCUUCCUGGACCAAUACUGACACUGAGGUGCGAAAGCGUGGGGAGCAAACAGGAUUAGAGACCCUGGUAGUCCACGCUGUCAACGAUGAGAACUAGCUGUUGGGAGGUUUACCCUCUUAGUAGCGAAGCUAACGCGUUAAGUUCUCCGCCUGGGGAUACGACCGCAAGGUUA
Molecule: ribosomal RNA, 369 nt
Filed under: uncultured organism
Description: partial 16S ribosomal RNA
Rfam family: Bacterial small subunit ribosomal RNA
Source: RNAcentral